AAUGAACGUUGGCAGCGUGGAUUAGGCAUGCAAGUCGAGCGACAAGUCUUCCUUCGGGGAGAUGGAGGAGCGGCUAACGGGGUAGUAAGGCAUCGGAACGUACCUUUUCGUCUGGGAUAGCCAUGGGAAACUGUGAGUAAUACCGGAUAAUAUCUUCGGAUCAAAGGUUUACUGCGAUUAGAGCGGCCGAUGUGAGACUAGGUAGUUGGUAGGGUAAUGGCCUACCAAGCCAGAGAUCUCUAGGGGGUGUGAGAGCAUGACCCCCACCACUGGAACUGAGACACUGUCCAGACACCUACGGGUGGCUGCAGUCGAGAAUCUUCGGCAAUGGGCGAAAGCCUGACCGAGCGACGCUGCGUGCGGGAUGAAGGCCCUUGGGUUGUAAACCGCUGUCAGAGGGGAUCAAAGGAAACUUGAGAGAGCCUCAGAGGAAGCGCGGGCUAAGUUCGUGCCAGCAGCCGCGGUAAUACGAACUGCGCAAACGUUAUUCGGAAUCACUGGGCUUACAGGGUGCGUAGGCGGUUCGCCAGGUCAGAUGUGAAAUCCCACAGCUCAACUGUGGAACUGCAUUUGAAACCUGCGAACUUGAGUAGACUAGAGGUACACGGAACUUCAGGUGGAGCGGUGAAAUGUGUUGAGAUCUGAAGGAACACCAGAGGCGAAAGCGGUGUACUGGAGUCUGUCUGACGCUGAGGCACGAAAGCUAGGGGAGCGAACGGGAUUAGAUACCCCGGUAGUCCUAGCCGUAAACGAUCUGUACUAGACGGUGGGAGGCUUGCCUUUCACGGUCGCAGCGAAAGCAUUAAGUACAGCGCCUGGGGAGUAU
RNAcentral lists this ribosomal RNA (826 nucleotides) under uncultured Planctomycetota bacterium. RNAcentral describes it as "bacterial SSU rRNA". It matches the Rfam family "Bacterial small subunit ribosomal RNA", at positions 28 to 883 of the family's 1533-position model. The record is from RNAcentral. Lineage: Bacteria; Pseudomonadati; Planctomycetota.